UUCCCGUGAUUUUACGCUUUCAGUUUAAAUUUAAAACAUAUUCGAGGUGGUACUAAAUUUUGUCUCUCCAAUUGACUCGAUUGACCGCUACGUUCUUGGUCGCUUAACUGGGCCGCGAUCCAGUUGGGCCUUGCCCCGUCUCUCACCGUCGAAUAAACGGUUCUCGCUAAUUUAACCCGCAGUUAUUUUUCUUCGUCAACCCUCUGUGCACGUUUGGCUUUAGAUCGAGCGGCGGCGCUCCCGAAGCCCCGAUCCAAUCGGGACAUGUAGGACGACGGCGGCAGGGCUCUCGAAAGUGGGGAACGACAGGGAGGCGGGAACGGCGGGAAGCGGCGGACGUCGCGGCGAGGCGGAUCAGGUCAGGAUCCAGCGCGGCGGCCGGCGCUCCAUGGCCGUGGCGUCUCGGUCCGGCGGUGGCUCCGGUCGGCUGAUCCAGGCCAACUCUUGAUGGAUUUCCAAUGUGCUGCUGGCCUCCGAUUUUUUUGUCGUGUAGCCGCUCCCCAUCUCAGCGUGUGCUAUCCAUGGAAGCCGGCUCCUCCACUCAGGCCCUCCUCUGCAACGCUGACGAGGACGCUACUUCGUCUGAACCGAUCUUCACGACCACGUGCAGAUGUCAUACAGGGGCAGAGAACAAUGGUCUUUUGGGAAUGCCUGUUAACCUUUUGGAGCUGCCAGCCUUCGCAUCUGCGGAGCCACCCUUUCGCUCAAAGGAGUACACCCAUGCCACGGAGGCCGGAUCGGGCAACAGGAAUUCGAGGAGGACGACAGCACCAGGAUCUCGGGGAGGUGAGCUCGAGGGCAUGACCCAUCUCCUCCAUGUCCUCACCCCGAACUCCAGCGCCCCAACUCCGACACCGCCUGCGAGUCAAAUCUCUGCGCGCCGCUGGCGAAAACUCCCCCUGCAUCUCGCGCCGCCACGACUAACCAUCUGUGCGCUGAACCAACUCGCCACCGGUAGCGCCCCCCUAUCGACGCGACUCCCUCGAGCUCCCUCCCGGUCGUGUCCCUCCAGAUAAGCAGCAACAUCGUCCUCCUGCCGCUGCAGCGGCGCAACGACAUGAGGUGUGGAGGGGAAGGGAUAUACAGGUGGAGGAGGGCGGUGGCGGCAAAGGCGGGGGAGGUUGAUGAUACCUGAAAUUCUUCGGAGUUCUUUCGAACCGAAAGAUCAGGAAAUAAGCUUGUGGUGACUUUGUGAGGUUUUCGCAUUGGACCGUUUGGAACUUCGGAUUGGCAGAGAGCUAGAGACCCCGGUGCUCUGAAGGAUGUUGAAUUUGAGAACAUAAUUUAUUGUUGUUAAGUAAUAUUUGCUUCUUUCAUAUGGAAAAGUUAGCGUUGUUGGGAGCUCAAUGUUGCAGUGGGCCUUGACAGUGCCAAGUUGGGAGCUGGCGAGGUAGAUGUCGUCCUUGACAAGGGCCGUGACCUCAUCUCCUUUGGCCCCAAGUCCGACUACCACCACAACCAGACAUGCUCCUCCAUAGGCCUUGGAUUACUGUCGGCUAUGAGAUGAAGUUCGGAGAAAGGAGCUAAAACUUGACUCACCAGAGAAUGGACAGAACUAGAGCAGGGCCAUUGUCAGCUUCUGUGUUGGUAGGGCGAUUCUUAGGCGCACCAAGAUACUGGUCCUGGACGAAGCCACUGCUUCGGUGGACAGUGCAACCGAUAACCUGAUCCAGAACACACUACAACAUCAUUUUUCCGGGUCAAUUGUCAUCACGACCGUGCAUCGAAUCACCUCGGUCCUUCUUAACGAUAUAGUCUAGAUUCUUGACAAUGGACUGGCUGUGGAAUCUGGAGCAACCAUGGCCAGCCAAGUUGUUGGAACACAAAUUUUCUCUGUUCUCAAAGCUUGUGGUGGAAUCCAUGAUGAGGUUGAUACACACUUGAGGCAGCAUCACAAAUGUUAUCAAAAUGAAAUUCUACCUUAUCCAAAUUGUGGUAUGCAAAUAUUAGAAAGGUACUAUCGACGCGUUUGGUUCGCCCUCAGGUUACUUCUUCGGUUAAGGUAUCGGGAAGCUCCGUUUUACCUUUUUGUUUUAGGAAUACGUGAUCUGUUUGGUCUGGCCGUCCGACUCCUGUUUUCCUAAUCAGCCGCAUGUGAGCGUUUUCAAUUUUGUGAACCCUGUAUCGGAAAGCACUGCUACGGAAUACGUGGUGUGCGUGUACCAAACGCCGGAUAUUGUUUCAGAAUGCGCUGCAAUCGGGAACCGUUGCGAUUCUCCCGAACCAAAUGCGUGCCUCUCUGAUUCAUUGGAUGUGGUAUAGAAGCUGGCAUGUAAUAUGUGAAAUUUGUAUAGCUAGGCGCACCACCGGGCAUCGAAGGAUGUGCUGGCUCUUGACUUAUUUCUGCAGGCGGCGGCACACCAUGAACUAACUGGAGGAGCCAAACUGGAUUUGCAGGCUUCUGCAAAGUGCUAGCACCUAGAGAUGAUCUGAAUUUUCCUCUUGUAAAUGUCAUGAGGCAUGAGCCACAACCUCUUCAGAGAACAUUAAAACAAAACAUUGAUCCCCAUGUGGGUACACAAACAUUGUCCUUUUGAUUUAUUUUUCCAGUAGAUGAUUUUGGACCAUGUUUUUUUUACUCCAUGCCCUUUUGCUGUACUAAUUUUUUGGGCGAUGCCACAUAAGUUUAUUGCUAUACUGAAGUGUUGAUAUUAGUAUAUGUAGUCCUUUUCCUUGAGCGGCUGCUCCCGUCCAUGGCCUCCUUGAUCUGAGGAUCUGCUCCUUUCCCACGUUUGCCCACGAGGACAAGGAGGCACAGUGGUGGCCACUAGCAGCGCCAGAAGGAGCUUCCAUUAAGGCAGGAUGGUGUGCAAGUUCCUCUUUUUUUCUAAGCUCAGGUUCCUCUUUCUUACAUGAGUUAUUCUUAAAUAUUGAUUUGAUUUGUAGGAUUUACAUUAGUUGGCGUAAUCUGAUUAACUUGAAUUGUUUUAUGGUGACCAUUAUAAUUUUUGUGAGUUUUUGUUGUUCGCCCGUUGCAACGCACGGGCACUUUUACUAGUAUAUAAUAUAUAUAUAUAUAUAUUUUUUAUAAUAAAGCACGGAUUGACUCCGUGGAUUCACCGUCACAAUACGUUUUCUUCUCAUGUCAUAAUACGCUUUUACAAUUUAUAUGGACAAAAUCGUAAUAUAAACGAGGUGGUACUAAUUUGGGUCUGCACGUCCUUAGUCCCUAAUUUUUGUCUCCUGCUUUUUUGGGUAAUCAUCCCGCACUCCGCAAACUUUCAUCUGUUAUUAAUUAUUAAGUGAAAAAAGGAUUCUAGAGGCCCUCUCUCUCCCGCACGAGGACGCGAGACACCCCGGAACUAGGGUUCCUUUCACCGCCGCGCCCCCAUGGCACCGCUUACGGCAGCCCUCGCCACCAUCUUCCGUCCCCAAUCACCGUUGUAGUCCCCCGCCGCCGGUAAAUAGCCUUGACGGAGCCCUAGCCACUGGCUCCCUAGAGCACGGCGCCCGUCGAUAGCCACGAUGGAGCGCCGGUGGAUGUCCUGAUUGUGGGUGAGGACCCCGCCGAGGCGACUAACCUCGACACCGCGCGGCACCCCCAGGCCCCAGCAUCUCUGCCAUCGCCUCGCGUUGCCGUGCGCAAGGAUACCACCACCUCUCCCUGACAUCUCUGUCUCCACUCCCCCGAGGUGUGCUGCUCGCCGGCUCCACACCUCUAUCCUCUCCCAUCCAGUGUUGCUCACGACCUGCUACAGAGAUCAAACUUUGCGUCUCCCGUGCAGGCCCUCCUCGCGGACAGCCUCCAACCCACACAAGCUCCCCUAUUCUGGCUCUGCAGCCUCCCAUGGCUGAGCAACAAAGAGAUCGAGAGGGGAAUACUCAGUUGAUUUUUCAGGGAUUGGAGAUUGAUCUUAUUUGUUUGGUUGUCCGUGGAUUCAAAGAUGAAGUAGAUAGUAAAGGCCAAGGCAACGGGCAUCAGACAUGUUAAUUUUUCUGAACUCUACUAUGGAACAUGUGUUUCUGAAUUUCUGCCAAAGUGUCAACUGUGGAUCGUACAUAGUAGUGCUCUUUUGAUAGUAGGUGGUCUGAAUUUCUGUCAAAGUGAUAAUGUGGAUCGUACAUAGUAGUGCUCUUUUGAUAGUAGGUGGUCGAAGUGUCGAAACACUCGAACAAGCACAAACUGAUCCUAGCAUCGAAGUGCUUUGUUUUUCCUUUGCAUCAAACUAUUUUUGUGUGCUCCAGAGUUCAGUGGGACAUAUGAUUGUCGUGCUCCAGCCCGUUUAAUCUCAGGUUUGAUCUUUUUUCAGCUCUUAUAUGUAUAGUACUUGGUUAUACAAACAUGGAACUGAUGGAUAUGUUGGAUUAAUGGAUGCAUAAUUACACACCUGAUGAUGAAUAGAUGGAAUUAAUGGAUGCAUACAUAUAUGAUUAGACCCUUAAUAAGCUUAGAUGUACUAUGGUUUAUUGCAUUCUCAGUAGGUUGAUAAUUACUGUAUAUGAAAACAAAAUUGCGCGUUCUUAUUUUGUUGGAAUAUUCCCACAAGGCCACACCGGCAAGAUAAUUAGUUUCUUUUUUAUGAAACCAAUAGCUAAUCUAUAUAUUUGCAGGUGAUUCAGAUGAGCAUCUCCCGACUUUAUGCAACAAUCAAAUUUAUUUGAAGUACCAAUAUUUGCAAUAAACAUUCUUAAUCCAUAUAAGUUACGGGAUUUAUAAAUCUUUUCACCACUUCAUAUGUUUGGAGGGGAACAUCUAAGAAACCGAUGGAUCACGUAUAUGUUUUAUGGCAUAAAUACAAUAUAAUUAAUGUGAAAACCACUGAUGUGUCUUAGGAUCACAUGAUCUGUUUAAAAUAAUAUAUAAUUUGCACUCAGCGGAAAAAACUCCCAAAAAAGUUCGCAUGUAAAUGACUGAAUAUUAUAUCCAUAUUUCAGUUUUGUCUCAUUGACAAAAGUAAUCAUUGCGAUGCACCUGAAGAUAUAUACGAUUAUCAUGGUAAGUAUUUCCGUUCCGUGCAGGGUCUUGCGAGCGGGGAAGGAGAGCACCUGUGAGGUAAGAAGGCACCAAUGCAACACGCUGUGAAACCUCGGCAUCACAGACGGGAUUCUGUCCAAGGAUGCAGAUUUUGAAGUGUCAAGUAUGAUGAUUUGGUUGGAUGCCUUCUGCCUCUGAGCUUCACUGAACACUUGCGUCCACCACCAACCUGCACAUCCGGAAGAAGAGAAGCAAGCUUUCUCCCUCAACCACAACCCGCAUCCAUGAUCCCAGUGCAAAGCUCCUGGUCAACAAUGCCUCACAUGAUGUGUCAUGGAGCCGCCACCCACUGAUGCCUACCACCUCGAUCCACUCAGUUAUGCCCCUCAAUGGAUCUGGGGAGAGAACCCAUGACUAUGAGCAUUGAGAAGAUUAGGUGCGGCAAUUAGGUGUGUGGUCACAAAAAUGAUUGUUUCAUGCUUCUCUUCGCCCAUCUGUAAUGUGUACUCAUCCAGAGCAAUCUAUAAUUUUUUUGGCAUAGUCUGUAGCUUUGAAUUAACUCCGUAGCCUCCAUGUUCUUAAAUAAUUUAAGUGGGUUAAUUAAGGGACUGCAUUGCAAUU
Triticum aestivum (bread wheat) is the source of this 5536-nucleotide long non-coding RNA. RefSeq lists it as uncharacterized. The transcript has 8 exons. The record is from RefSeq and is a predicted model, not a curated record. NCBI's taxonomy places the organism in Eukaryota, Viridiplantae, Streptophyta, Magnoliopsida, Poales, Poaceae.